CAACAGCGUAUAUUAAAGUUGUUGCGGUAAAAAAGCUCGUAGUUGGAUUUCUACCGAAGAUAGCCGGUCGGGUCUUCGACCUUGUAUCUGGUUUUGUCUUUGGUAUCCUCAUAGGGAACGUUUCUGCGCUUUAUUGCGUGGUGCGGUAUCUAUGACUUUUACUUUGAGGAAAUUAGAGUGUUCACGGCAGGCAAACGCCUUGAAUAUAUUAGCAUGGAAUAAUAACAUAGGAUCUUCGUCCUAUUUUGUUGGUUUCUAGGGCUAAGAUAAUGAUUAAUAGGGAUAAUUGGGGGCAUCUGUAUCAACGCGUCAGAGGUGGAAUUCUUGGAUUGCGUUGCGACAAACUACUGCGAAAGCAUUUGCCAAGGAUGUUUUCAUUGA
This 381-nucleotide ribosomal RNA is filed under the name uncultured eukaryote. RNAcentral's name for it is "partial 18S ribosomal RNA". It matches the Rfam family "Eukaryotic small subunit ribosomal RNA", at positions 592 to 976 of the family's 1831-position model. The record is from RNAcentral.